RNAcentral lists this ribosomal RNA (440 nucleotides) under uncultured bacterium. Its description in RNAcentral is "partial 16S ribosomal RNA". It matches the Rfam family "Bacterial small subunit ribosomal RNA", at positions 338 to 795 of the family's 1533-position model. The record is from RNAcentral.
CCUACGGGAGGCAGCAGUGGGGAAUAUUGCACAAUGGGGGAAACCCUGAUGCAGCGACGCCGCGUGAGUGAAGAAGUAAUUCGUUAUGUAAAGCUCUUUCAGCAGGGAAGAAAAUGACGGUACCUGAGUAAGAAGCCCCGGAUAACUACGUGCCAGCAGCCGCGGUAAUACGGAGGGGGCAAGCGUUAUCCGGAUGUACUGGGUGUAAAGGGAGCGUAGACGGCAGUGCAAGUCUGGAGUGAAAGGCGGGGGCUCAACCCCCGGACUGCUCUGGAAACUGGACGGCUGGAGUGCAGGAGAGGUAAGUGGAAUGCCUAGUGUAGCGGUGAAAUGCGUAGAUAUUAGGAGGAACACCAGUGGCGAAGGCGGCAUACCGGAGUGUAACUGACGUUGAGGCUCGAAAGCGUGGGGAGCGAACAGGAUUAGAUACCCGAGUAGUC